This 27-nucleotide non-coding RNA is filed under the name Mus musculus (house mouse). Lineage: Eukaryota; Metazoa; Chordata; Mammalia; Rodentia; Muridae. The record is from RNAcentral.
UGGAAAGUUUCUGUGGUGGCCAUCAAC